GCUCUUUUGUAGGGGAAGAUAAUGACUGUACCCUAAGAAUAAGGUCCGGCUAACUUCGUGCCAGCAGCCGCGGUAAUACGAAGGGACCUAGCGUAGUUCGGAAUUACUGGGCGUAAAGCGCGCGUAGGCCGUUGAGUUAGUUAAUUGUGAAAUCCCAAAGCUUAACUUUGGAACUGCAAUUAAAACUGCUCGACUAGAGUUUGAUAGAGGAAAGCGGAAUACAUAGUGUAGAGGUGAAAUUCGUAGAUAUUAUGUAGAACACCAGUUGCGAAGGCGGCUUUCUGGAUCAACACUGACGCUGAGGCGCGAAAGUAUGGGUAGCAAAGAGGAUUAGAUACCCUCGUAGUCCAUACCAUAAACGAUGAUUGCUAGAUGUUGGAAAUUUAUUUUCAGUAUCGCAGCU
RNAcentral lists this ribosomal RNA (403 nucleotides) under uncultured bacterium. RNAcentral describes it as "bacterial SSU rRNA". It matches the Rfam family "Bacterial small subunit ribosomal RNA", at positions 430 to 853 of the family's 1533-position model. The record is from RNAcentral.